RNAcentral lists this ribosomal RNA (253 nucleotides) under uncultured bacterium. RNAcentral's name for it is "partial 16S ribosomal RNA". It matches the Rfam family "Bacterial small subunit ribosomal RNA", at positions 524 to 776 of the family's 1533-position model. The record is from RNAcentral.
UACAGAGGUCUCAAGCGUUGUUCGGAUUCAUUGGGCGUAAAGGGUGCGUAGGCGGCGCGGUAAGUCGAGUGUGAAAUCUCGGAGCUUAACUCCGAAACUGCAUUCGAUACUGCUCGGCUCGAAGACAGGAGAGGGAAGUGGAAUUCCCGGUGUAGUGGUGAAAUGCGUAGAUAUCGGGAGGAACACCAGUGGCGAAGGCGACUUUCUGGCCUGUUCUUGACGCUGAGGCGCGAAAGCUAGGGGAGCAAACGGG